GAACAGAAGGAACUUUGGAUGUGGGAGAGAAAGACAAGUAGUAAUCUGAAAGUAGCCGAGUUAUGAUAACGAAUGGUUGUUACUGAUGCCCUGCACAGACAUAGGUCUGUAAAGUGGCAAGCAGGACUCUGCUACAACAGAGGAAAGGAUUUUGCUAUAUCUCUUGUCAGGCCCAAUGCUGCAGAGGGGAUUGCAGAUUGAAUAUAAGUGACUUGGAAAAGGAAGACGAGUUGCCGGAAACAGCUAAAAUGUCAACAGAAGACUUGACAGCUUGAGAAUAGAGGAAAAAAUGAAGCAAAGCAGACAAAAAGAACCUUACCUCCCCCACAAUAUAACAUUGGGUUGCUGAGCCAACAAAAAUCUAAAAUCAGUUUAGGAUCCUCUGUUUAACUCAUCAGAGAAAUGCACAAACUAUUAUAGAGAGGCUUGCACCUACAAAGAUUACUUAAGAAUGCGUUGACACAUUUGGAGGGGUUAACUUACCAGUUAUCAUAUACUAGAAGGCUUUUUCUAUAAAAAUGUAUGGAAGAGGUUCCUCUGAGCAUUCAACUGGGCUUUUUUGUAGGGUAUGUGU
This is an RNA transcript of Cebus imitator (Panamanian white-faced capuchin), 574 nucleotides long. RefSeq lists it as uncharacterized. The transcript is spliced from 3 exons. NCBI's taxonomy places the organism in Eukaryota, Metazoa, Chordata, Mammalia, Primates, Cebidae. The record is from RefSeq and is a predicted model, not a curated record.